UCAUUGUCCGCCACGAUUACGAAUUCUGGAUUCUAUCAAAUCUGUGAGGAUUGGAUGUUUCCAUGCGUGCAAAUCAUGAUGCAGGCGGAUGGCAUGUAUCUAAUUCUCAGCAUGUAGACACUUGGAGUGCUUAGCAAUUGAUGUGAGAUGUCUCAGCUCCUGCACCUCAAUUCCCUUUGGGUUGUUUGUCCAUGAGGUACAGCUAUACAUCUGUCACGCCCCGAACCCAGCAACCGGGUUCGGUACGCGACCGACCGCAUGGGCUCUAGAGCAGUGCCCUAAAGAUCAUGCAAGGCCUAUGAUUAACAAAAAUUCCAAUAAAUCCACAAUUAAUCUAGUAAUUCAAAUAGAGCAGUCCGACAUGUCCAAAUAAACAAAUUAGUUCAAUUACAAGAUCUUCAAA
Molecule: long non-coding RNA, 403 nt
Filed under: Phoenix dactylifera (date palm)
Lineage: Eukaryota; Viridiplantae; Streptophyta; Magnoliopsida; Arecales; Arecaceae
Description: long non-coding RNA (PDAC_LNC005432)
Source: RNAcentral